GGUGGCUCAGUGGUAGGGUGCUUGCCUUGUAUGCAUGAAGCCCUAGGUUCAAUUCCUCAGCACCA
Molecule: transfer RNA, 65 nt
Filed under: Dipodomys ordii (Ord's kangaroo rat)
Lineage: Eukaryota; Metazoa; Chordata; Mammalia; Rodentia; Heteromyidae
Rfam family: tRNA
About the family: Transfer RNA (tRNA) molecules are approximately 80 nucleotides in length. Their secondary structure includes four short double-helical elements and three loops (D, anti-codon, and T loops).
Source: Rfam by way of RNAcentral